Molecule: unclassified non-coding RNA, 285 nt
Filed under: plant metagenome
Description: partial contains small subunit ribosomal RNA, internal transcribed spacer 1, and 5.8S ribosomal RNA
Rfam family: Eukaryotic small subunit ribosomal RNA (bases 1-54)
Source: RNAcentral
GGAAGUAAAAGUCGUAACAAGAUUUCCGUAGGUGAGCCUGCGGAAGGAUCAUUAUUGUAUAACCGAGGUGCGAGGGCUGUCGCUGACCCGAAAGGUCGUGCACGCCCGAGUGCCCUCACACACAUCCAUCUCACCCCUAUGUGCACCACCGCGUGGGUCCCCCUUUGGCUUGUUCGGAGGGGGGCUUACGUUUUCACACAAACUUUGUAUGCAGUGUAGAAUGUAUUUUUUGUUUUUGCGAUCACGCAAUCAAUACAACUUUCAACAACGGAUCUCUUGGCUCUC